CCUCCUACGGGACGCAGCAGUGGGGAAUAUUGGGCAAUGGGCGCAAGCCUGACCCAGCAACGCCGCGUGAAGGAAGAAGGCUUUCGGGUUGUAAACUUCUUUUGACAGGGAAGAGCAGAAGACGGUACCUGUCGAACAAGCCACGGCUAACUACGUGCCAGCAGCCGCGGUAAUACGUAGGUGGCAAGCGUUGUCCGGAUUUACUGGGUGUAAAGGGCGUGUAGCCGGGCUUACAAGUCAGAUGUGAAAUCCGGGGGCUCAACCCCCGAACUGCAUUUGAAACUGUAUAUCUAGAGUGUCGGAGG
Molecule: ribosomal RNA, 305 nt
Filed under: uncultured bacterium
Lineage: Bacteria
Description: bacterial SSU rRNA
Rfam family: Bacterial small subunit ribosomal RNA
Source: RNAcentral